CUAUUGGUGGACAGUAAAGAAAGGGAUAUGCAAUAUGAGCCUCUGUGUCUUGUCAUAAAAUUAUUAAUAACUACGGCAAUGUUGCACUCCGCGACUGGCAGGGAUCACGGCCACGGAUCCUUGCUGGUGAGGGAAGCAAAUGAGUGGAGUAGGUUAAAAUGGCUACAGUGGUAGUGUCUCCUGCCCCAAUGUCCCAUGCUUUUACCCUAUACCCUUGCUGACUAGGAGGGCGGCAAACUGUGAUUGUCCCAGUAGUCCAUGUUUGGCCACUCCUCCGGCCCCAGGCCUCCUUAAGGGCUCCUGUGCAGUUCCCAUUGCUCCAGUUGCUGACUGCUCCCUAAGCGAAAUCUCGGGCGGUUGUAAGGUGGUAGCGAG
Molecule: non-coding RNA, 375 nt
Organism: Pelobates cultripes (western spadefoot toad)
Lineage: Eukaryota; Metazoa; Chordata; Amphibia; Anura; Pelobatidae
Source: the annotation of a GenBank genome assembly